AUACGUAGGUGGCAAGCGUUAUCCGGAAUUAUUGGGCGUAAAGCGCGCGUAGGCGGUUUUUUAAGUCUGAUGUGAAAGCCCACGGCUCAACCGUGGAGGGUCAUUGGAAACUGGAAAACUUGAGUGCAGAAGAGGAAAGUGGAAUUCCAUGUGUAGCGGUGAAAUGCGCAGAGAUAUGGAGGAACACCAGUGGCGAAGGCGACUUUCUGGUCUGUAACUGACGCUGAUGUGCGAAAGCGUGGGGAUCAAACAGGAUUAGAUACCCUGGUAGUCCACGCCGUAAACGAUGAGUGCUAAGUGUUAGGGGGUUUCCGCCCCUUAGUGCUGCAGCUAACGCAUUAAGCACUCCGCCUGGGGAGUACGACCGCAAGGUUGAAACUCAAAGGAAUUGACGGGGACC
RNAcentral lists this ribosomal RNA (400 nucleotides) under Enterococcus faecium. RNAcentral's name for it is "bacterial SSU rRNA". It matches the Rfam family "Bacterial small subunit ribosomal RNA", at positions 523 to 921 of the family's 1533-position model. The record is from RNAcentral. Lineage: Bacteria; Bacillati; Bacillota; Bacilli; Lactobacillales; Enterococcaceae.